UUCCCUGUAACCUAUUUGCAUGAUAUCGCAGAGAGUCAUUUUCCACUAUUACUGGUCAUAAUCACCUGAGCAGGCAAAACUAAAGGCCUAAUAAUCACAACAAGAAUGGGUUUUUCGAUAUCUUCAUUUUAUGUCAGCUGACAGUGAGUGACGGGCACCGGGAGAUGAUUCCCGUGUAGUGACGACGUUUUGCAAGCGAAGCACGUUCUGCGGGGAUGUGGACAAGUAACUGGGGGCUGAGGCAGUAAGGGGCCACCCAAGGUGAUGACAGAGGCCUAGAGAGGCAAUUAUACGCCGCAUGGAGGCCUCAGCUCCAGCGUUAGAGACUUCUGCAAAGCGCCCGGCAAGCUGUUCACACUCUGCUGAGCCAGACUUUCGGCUCCUCGGGAGUUUUGGGAAACACAGUGCCCUGUGCGGGCCUUCAGGUGCCGGGCACCACGGUGUGGUAACGGCAAGGGUGGUAUUGCUCUGCUGCCCUCAAAUGAUCCCCGGUGAGUCUCCACCCUGUCACCAAAUGGUAAUACUGCACAUGGAAUACAUGGGGGGGGGAGGGGGUGCUUUAUCUCAAGCCUUCAUCCCCCAGGAUGCUCUGCUUGGGAGGCUUGUUUGUUGUUGGUGGGCAACAGUUUCUUCGUCUUGGGGGUGUGUGGGUUUUUCUAAAGGAAAUGCAGGUGAUUGAUGAGCCACAGAAAAGAACGGCAGUCUGGCACAGAGCUGAUAAAGCAGUGGGAUGCUUCAUCCAUAAUCCCAAGUGUCCCGGGGGGCAUCCACCGAGGACUGCCUGGACCCAACCGCACCCA
This is a long non-coding RNA of Paramormyrops kingsleyae, 800 nucleotides long. RefSeq lists it as uncharacterized. The record is from RefSeq and is a predicted model, not a curated record. NCBI's taxonomy places the organism in Eukaryota, Metazoa, Chordata, Actinopteri, Osteoglossiformes, Mormyridae.